GUCUGUUCCCAAACAUUUCUCUUGUAACACCACUGAGAAUUAGCCAAAGCUGGAUUUGAAGCCUGGGGAUCAGGACAACAGAGGGGAGAGAGAAGAGGGUAAGACAGGACUGUCAAAAGAAAGGCGGACUCUCAUGGGUACUGAGUUACAACAAUGGAAAGCUGACCUCCUCCAUGAGGUCCUCACCAGAGCCAGAAAAUGUCCUUAAAUCUCCAGGACUGUGAGACAAACACAGCUCUGUUAUUUAUAAAAUUACCCAGCCUGGGAUAUUUCAUUAUAGUAAUUUAAAAAAUAAUACAAGAUAUAAGAGCAGGAGUGAUGGGACCAGUUUUCUCCUCAAUGUUUUUCAAAAGCCGCUCACAAUUAAAAGUAUGUGAAGGGUAUUUGUUGCAAUGAAAAUUUCUCUCUUUUUGCAUAUUUUUGGUUUUAAUUGCCUCCUCUUGUCACAGGGAAGGUUUGGAUUCUUGUUAGAAAGCAGAAGGUGAUUAAGGAUGCUCCUUUUCUAAGACUGGGGUUCGAAAAGCCAGAGUGAGCUCUUAGAAUGCAUUGCUAGGCAGCCAGUGACAAGAAAUUUGGGAGUAGUAAGAGCAGCUAAGGAGAAAUGAUCUUCCUGUAGAAAGGCAUAGGAAUCACUAGAUCUGCUAAGCAGUAGUGACCUCUGCUUCAACCCAAGGAAUACUUCCAGAGAGCUCAAAGAUUUUAGAGGAAUGUCUACACAGUACACCGAAGAAGGAAGAACUGCCAGAGGAUGAACUCUAGCACUGUGUAUCACCACACAAAGAAAGAUCUAAAACCAGCUGAAAAGUCUUACUGCCAUGGAACCCUGUUACAGGUGCACAGGUGGCCUAUGUAGGUGGAGCUGAGAGUGCUGUGGUGUGUGGAAUGUGGGAACACCUGCUCUCCAGGUUCUGCUCAUUGAAUUCCCCCUAUCUUGGUGGAUACCAGACAGACAAUCAUCCCUGAUUUCAUUAAAUACACCCUUUUAAUAACAUACUAUUUUGCUAUUGAAAAACACGGAAGUUCAGAUGGAAAGAAAUCUCUGAUACUAUAGUUAGUCAAUAGCAAGAGUCAGGAUUUAGAGUCAUGUCCUUAUUCCCUAGUUCAUACGUGUUAAAUUGCAUUUUAUUGGGAAGUAAAUGUCCUUUCUUUGUCCUUAUGUCUUAGAAGAUAAUUGUGUGUUCACAGUAGGGCAAUAAAGAUGAUACAAUAGAAGUCUAAUAAGACAUUUUCAUCACUCCUAGUUUUCCUAUUAUUCAUAAAGGACUAUGAUUACACUUCAAGGAAUUUUUAAAGGAAUACUAUUUUUAAAACUAUCACCAUCUGGAAUUGCAUUCUUAACAAAUUAAGAAAUAAACAGAAGAGAAAGGUAAAAGAGGACCUGACUAUGACUCAAUUAUGGAUAGUGUUUAAGUUAAAUGAUACAGCUUAAAUGUGGAGGAAUAUGGGCACCUAACAUGGAAUCCAAGUAUUAAGCAGUCUUAUCCAUUUCAGGUACAGGCAGCCCCUAUAAAACUUGAAGCUUGAAAGAACAGAGAUGAAUUCUUUCUGUGUCCAAAUUUAGAUUUUAAGAGAAAAUGAAGAGCAAAAGUGUAAAUCUCUCUAAACUAACCAGUCAGUUAAAUCAUCCCACCAAGAAUAGAGAAAAUCCAGGAUAGGAUAUUGUAGCCAUGGAUCUCCCUCCCAUGGAAAAAAAAAAAAAAUCAGGAGGAGGGAAAACAUGUUUCUCCUGGACAGAAACUGUGCCAGGUUGUUUUGUCAUAUGUUUAACAAAAAUGUGUAAGUAAGCAUCUAAUGUUAAACUAUUUGCUGAGUUUCAGAGAGAAACAAAAGGCUAGUGAAACAGCUACCACACUCACGAUUUAUAGUUCUAUUCACUAACACAAAAAAUAAAAGUCUUCAUGUGGAAAAUUUCCUUAUAUCAAUGUUUUCUACCAUGCACAAAUAAAGAAAAUAUUAAAUUUUAAGGAUUAAGGUAACAUGAAGUACUUUAAUUCAGCGCCAGAGACAUGAAUAAUUAUUCAUUCCAACUAUACUUUCAAAAAUCCCAUGCUUGCCUUUUCAUUUAUCCACCUUACAAAUGUGCUUUUGAUGUAUGUGCUAUGGUUUGGGUCUAAAAUGUUAUCCAAAACUCUCAUGAAGUCCCUAUCAUUAAAGCAGCAAUAUUCGGGGGGCGGGGGGGGUGCUUUUAGAAGGUGAUUGAAUCAUGAGCACUAUAACUUCUUCAUAAUUUGAUGCCAUCAUUGGAAAAUGAUAGAAACUGAGGACUUAUGGCCAUGUUGAAGGGAUGAAUCAUGCAAACUUGCCCUUGCAGACUACAUCUUACCCUCAUUUCUCCCUACUUCUUUCUGUCCAUUUUUCCCUCCUCUGUGCUGUGAGGUAAGCAUCUUUGUUCUCCCACUUGCUCCCUGCCAUGAUGUUCUGCCUCAUCCAUGGGUCCAGAAGCAAUGGAGCCAGGCAACUAUGAACUAAAGCCUCUGAAACUAUGAGACCAAAUAAAUCUUUCCUCCCUUCAUUGGAUUUUCACGGAUAUUUUAUCAUAGCACAUAGCUUUGAAAAAUCAUUAUUUACAACUUUUACUAUAAGACUGAGACACUGCAGAAAUGACAGCAUU
This is a long non-coding RNA of Heterocephalus glaber (naked mole-rat), 2611 nucleotides long. RefSeq lists it as uncharacterized. NCBI's taxonomy places the organism in Eukaryota, Metazoa, Chordata, Mammalia, Rodentia, Bathyergidae. The record is from RefSeq and is a predicted model, not a curated record.